CGUCGCCGCGGGAAUACGAAGGGGGCUAGCGUUGCUCGGAAUGACUGGGCGUAAAGGGCGCGUAGGCGGAUGGUACAGUCAGAUGUGAAAUUCCCGGGCUUAACCUGGGGGCUGCAUUUGAUACAUGCUGUCUAGAGUGAGGAAGAGGGUCGUGGAAUUCCCAGUGUAGAGGUGAAAUUCGUAGAUAUUGGGAAGAACACCGGUGGCGAAGGCGGCGACCUGGUCCUUGACUGACGCUGAGGCGCGAAAGCGUGGGGAGCAAACAGGAUUAGAUACCCCUGUAGUCCCUGUCUCUUAUACC
Molecule: ribosomal RNA, 301 nt
Filed under: uncultured bacterium
Lineage: Bacteria
Description: partial 16S ribosomal RNA
Rfam family: Bacterial small subunit ribosomal RNA
Source: RNAcentral